CUAUGAUUCACAGGGCAAAUAUAGCCUCUUCUUAGGCCAACACCUUUUUUUUUGUUGCUCUGCCUCUGUGGCCAUCCAGUGAGCAAAGUGCACCCCAGAGUGGUGGGAAGAAACUUGCUAACAAGAAAAGGGCAUUUGUUGAUGUUCCACAUUAUGUUGUGGCUCUCAAUAUUACACAGUGCUGCCUCCUGACAGCUGAUCCACGGAAAACCAGGCAAAAUGGAUGACAAUACCCCUGCAAAACCAGCAGGAAGAACCAGGGAAGAAAUCCAGCAGGAAAUGAAGACAGCAGCGGUAAAGUCCUGGCAGAGCAUCACUAAGGUCACGGGGAACCUGGAGCCUAUCACAGGGAGCUUCUGCACAAGGCAGGGUACACCCUGGACAGGGUGCCAGUCCAUCACAGGGCACAAUCACACCCCCAUUUCAUACACUACAGACACUUUGGACAUGCCAAUCAGCCUACCAUGCAUGUCUUUGGACUGGGCGAGGAAACCAGAGUACCUGGAGGAAGCCCCCACAGCACUGGGAGAACAUGCAAACUCCGCACACACAUGGCCCCAGUGGGACUCGAACCCCGGACCCUGGAGGUGUGAGGCGAAUGGGCGAACUAGAAGGUUGUGAGUUCAAAUCCCAGCCCUGCCCAGGACUUUUUAAGAAUUACCCUUAAGCCUUGCCUAUAUACUUAAAUUAGAUUUUGGCUCUAACUUGUUACUUUGCUGUUUGCCAUAUGAAUACAUUAACAAAACAAAACAAACCAACAA
Ictalurus punctatus (channel catfish) is the source of this 761-nucleotide long non-coding RNA. RefSeq lists it as uncharacterized. The transcript is spliced from 4 exons. The record is from RefSeq and is a predicted model, not a curated record. NCBI's taxonomy places the organism in Eukaryota, Metazoa, Chordata, Actinopteri, Siluriformes, Ictaluridae.